GUGGGAUGGGGUGAGGACUUCUCCCCAAGCAGCUGGGGGUGGCAACUAGUGUAAAGUAGAUGUCUGCAGAGAGAGUGGGGUGGCAGGAAGUCCCGUAGGGGGAUGGGAAGCUGAGCAGCAGAUGGACACUGCUUCCAGUCCAUUGAUCACCACAUUCCCGAUGGGAGCCAUAUUCCUCCCGGUGGGAGAAGGUGUCGCAACCAUGAAAACCUAGAAUGAGCCUGUGGUUCUGAUAAGGAUUUCAGUUGUUGCUGUGUAUCCAUGGGGGGAAGAAUUGAUAGAUGGACAUCUGGAUAGACACAUAUAAAAUCAUAGAUACACAUAGACAUAUUUCUUUUCCUUAUCCCCGAGUAGGCUACCGACUGACAUUUCAAUCAAAACAGGUAUAUAUGGGGUUCAGAUAUCAAGUUGUGAAGUGACACUCUAUAGAUGAAGAAGGGUAAGGCGUUUCUUUGGAAAAGUAGCUGACUUUAGAUGCGACACAAGGAAAGCACCGGCCAAGUCAGGAGCACUUUGCUUAUCAGAAAGUAAAAUUAUCAAAGCAUCAGGAGGCCGUAGACACAGAAGCCACCCCGAAAGGUUUCUCCCUCACCAAAUUGCAGACAAUUCCGAAAGAUCAAAAUAAAUCGUGAGCGGAUCUUAACCCAUCUACACAAAAUGCUGGGUAACGGGGUUUCCCCUUACAGCAGCCCAACAGCCAAUGAGCAUAAAAGGAGCAAGAACGUCCAAGGUUACGUCACCACUCGCAAUAACCAGAGCGGUGGUUAAGACAGCUAAUAAACACCAACUGAUGGCAAAAUUUCAGGGCAACUGCAAACCUGGUGGAUCUGAGGAGGCAGUGAGGGGCGUGAAAGUCCCUCCCGGUGUUCCUACCAAACCACGCACUCUAACCUAAUCACCGCUCCACGAGACAAGCCAGCGUGAGGACGAGUUUAUAAAAGAAUCGAGCUUUAAUUUUCAAAACUGAAAGAGAGGGGAACUCAAGAAAGAAGGAACUCAAGAGAGGGGAUUUCGGACAGGAAGGACAAUAAACAGGACAGGUAAGACCCAGGACAGGAUCUUUGUGCUCUAAAGGGCUGUAUGGGUGAAGCGAGGCUCACCGAGGUCUGCUGAUACCAUGGUGGCAUAGCAGCUUCCUAAUUACGUGUGUGGUCACGUAAUUAGUGUUUAAUUAGUAAUUAAGUGUCUUUGUAGGGAUGCACACCGCCGUGUUUAAAGUGAGCAGGCAUUCUAUAAGCAAUUAACUCUUAAAUGACUAUGGGAAACAAAGCUUUUUACUCUUGCAGUUAUUCUGUCAGUUCAAAAUUAUUUUAAAUCUUAAAAUGUGAUUAAAAAAAAAAACCAACCAAUCAGAACGACUGUUUUAAGUAAACCGAUAUACUCAGUAGUUGAAUAUUAAGGAAUUUACCUAAUGGCGUUUUAGGAAACCAUGCAAUGUAUGGAUGAUGUUCACAAGGUAUAGUUAAAUGUGUGUGUGUAAUAUAUAUAUACAUAUAUGUAUAUAUAUAACAUAUAUAUGUUAUAACUGUAAUGUUCGUAACAUCUUGAAGGUGACCAGCUCACAUCCUAAGAAGUCUCCUUGCCUCUAACUUAGCAGCACUUAAGUCCACGGAACACUUAGUACUUAGGGGGUUUCUUUCAAAUGUGAAGAUUUAAAUUACGUGACCAAAACUCUCAGAUUUUCUCAGCAUCCAGAACAAAGACUGCCUUGUGCAUGGGGGAACUUUCUGGGCUUGUGAAGGACAGCGCAGGCGUUGGGGCCAUGAUUACUGCAGGACACUUAGCUUGCCUCAGCCCUCCUUCUGCUGGGAAGCAGCGCAGGCUAGCUCUCUUGGGCGCUUUGUGCCUCUGGCAAUGCUGACCUUUUUGGUCCUUGAAACCCUUCUGUGGAAUGUCUGCCUCAGGGAUCUUGUGUUACCUUCUCUCUACUCUGCCUUCUUAGUCCUUGAUGUGAACUGUUUCUUUAUUUAAAAAAAAAAAUAGGGCUGGAGAGAUGGCUCAGCGGGCAAGGGCACUGGCUGCUCUUCCAGAGGUUCCAAGUUCAAUUCCCCAACAACCAUAUGGUAGUUCACAACAAUCUGUAAUGAGAUCUGAAGCCCUCUUCUAGUGUGUCUGAAAACAGCUACAGUGUACUCGUGUAAAUAUAAUAAUAAAGAAACCUUUAAAAAUAAUUUGUUGACAAUUUCAUAUAUGCACACAACACAUUUUCUCCUUCCUCUAGAUGACAUUUCUGCUCCAAUCUUUCUUACUCAGGGAAGUCGCCCUGUCCUCCCUCCCCGUAAGCUGUUCGGUGUUAUAUUAUGCUGACUGUUGUCUGUGACCUGCUCUAUACUGGGAACUCAAUGUGUGGGUCUUUGCCUAGUUUACUGCAACACUUAAAGCUGGUGAGCACUUGAAACCGUCCGUUUAACAAAUGAAUUAAUCAAGUUUAAUCUUACCUCAGGAACCUAAUGAUUUUGCAUUUGCAAUAUAUGAACAACAAUUUCCUUAAAUCAGGUUGACAAAGGAUCUGAGGUAAUUUUAUGUAAGCACCAGCAUUUGGGGGAAAUGGGACUACUUUCAUUUUUUACUUCAAGCAAGUUCUUCUUCUCUAAGUAUGAUGUAAUAUUUUUCCCUCACAGGCAGGAACUCAUUUCUCAAAAGAGAAAAGAGAAGUAUCAAUACCUCGGAGCUCAAAGCUGGGAGACAGAGGUGCCCGCAUUGGGUGAGCGGGGGACAAGAAUGCCAACCAUGUUGAGAGGACUCUGUUCUCUCAACCAGGUCAGUCCAGGAUUCUGUAAGCAAAGUAUGCUGAGAUGUGGUUCUGGACCUAUUAAAAAGCCUUUACUGUUUUGGUUGGUAUCAUUACAUAAUAAAAUUCAUAGGCUUCUUGUUAUAUAAUGUGCAUUCCUUGUUGACCAAGCACUAACCACUGUUUAAAAAUUCCCUCCCGUGUAACAGUGUCCACAUACUGAAUCAGGUGAACUUUGUCAUACAUGGAGGAAGCGAACAAGUAGUUAUGACUUCUUCCAGGAUUUGGUCUAAAGAGUCUUAGUCCUAGCUGAGACCAAAGCUACAAAUUAAGUAUUGGGCUGACUCUUACUACUGACAAAAGACAAACAUAGGAUGAACGUAGCAGAGAGUAGUUUUUAGAUCAUGAAUCUCUAGAAAUCUAGUGGAGGCUGAGAGGGGAGGUGACCGUGACUCUCACCACUAACCAAGAAACUGCCUGCCGGGGUUGGGGAUUUGGCUCAGUGGUAGAGCGCUUGCCUAGAAAGCGCAAGGCCCUGGGUUCAGUCCCCAGCUCCAAAAAAAAAAAAAAAAAAAAAAAAGAAA
Rattus norvegicus (Norway rat) is the source of this 3315-nucleotide non-coding RNA. Lineage: Eukaryota; Metazoa; Chordata; Mammalia; Rodentia; Muridae. The record is from RefSeq and is a predicted model, not a curated record.